AACAAUCUCACAAUCUCUAUUCCUAACUAAGAAAAUCACUUUGAAGAACAACUAAUUGGGCUGCCAAGAUUAACCCAAAAAAGACUAUAACUAUAACAUCCACAACAAAAGUAAUCAUAUUAUUUUUUUUUCGUUCAUCUAAAAUCCACAAAUAGCAUUUAAGCAAAGGAAUAUUGUAAGAAUUCAAGAAAUCGUGAGAGGAAGAGAUUCUUGUAGCAUUUUCAGAGGGCCAAAAUCAAUGGCUAAACCUUUGACCUCUACAUCAAAUUAUCCUUCUUUCACGUUUAUGGUCUCUGUAGGGUUAAUUUCUUCAUUUUUGUUCUUCCACAAUCUAUCACAGCAGAAAAAGGAAAUAAAAAUAACGGCAGUUAAAUGUGUAUCCGAUUAAGCUGAAACCUAUCAAUGAAAUUUUAAGUAACCAAACCAAAGUAUAUGUUGAAUGAGAUUAUGAUUAAAAUAAAAAGAAAAAAAAAAGGAAGGAAGAAAGAAACCCUUAGAUCGUAAAGAGGAUAAGAGAAAGCACCCGAUAAGAGAAACUAGAGCAGUGUAGAGUAAAUUUCUUUUUUUUAUGAGGAAAAAUUGAAACCUUAAGAAAUAAAGGAAGAAGACUUAACAGUUGAUUUCCAAUUUUCUUUGGCGUUCUUGAUCGAGCCAGAUGGGCUGAGUACUUGAAUUUUUCAAUUUUUGCUUAAUUAAAAAGAAAGCAGAAACCCUAGAAGAAACUUAUUUUGCCUUAAGGGUAUUUUGGAUAUCAAAAUUUUGUCUGUCUCCG
Molecule: long non-coding RNA, 772 nt
Filed under: Manihot esculenta (cassava)
Lineage: Eukaryota; Viridiplantae; Streptophyta; Magnoliopsida; Malpighiales; Euphorbiaceae
Description: long non-coding RNA (MESC_LNC007455)
Source: RNAcentral